Trifolium pratense (red clover) is the source of this 2419-nucleotide long non-coding RNA. RefSeq lists it as uncharacterized. The transcript is spliced from 6 exons. The record is from RefSeq and is a predicted model, not a curated record. Lineage: Eukaryota; Viridiplantae; Streptophyta; Magnoliopsida; Fabales; Fabaceae.
UCACUCAAAUUAUUUUUUAUUUUAUUUUUCUAUAGAGUUUAUCUUUCCUCCAGAUUUCACAAACCCUCCUCCGCUGAAUCGCAAAUCCUCCGCCGAAUCGCAUAUAUGGAACCACAAACCCCUCCGUCGAAUCCCUAAUCGAAGAACCUCAAACCCCUUCGUUGUUCUCCUUCGUUCAAUCCAUCAAUAUCUAUGCCGUUCUUCUUCAAUUCCUCCGCCGUUCUCCUUUAAUCCUCCGCCUUUCUUCGUCGUUCUCCGCGGUUCCAAGAAUCCUUUUUCACUCUUGAGGCUUGUAUUCAUGAGUUUUACUAUGGGUUGGAGCAUUUCAAGUACUGGAGGUAAUCUAGGAUUUUCCCGACGGGUUUUACUCGCUCAAGCCGCACAAACGGGUACCUGAAGCUUGAAGUUUCGUUUUCCUUUUUAGUUCCAGAAGUUCCCUUGACACAUGAGGUUGGAAGUUUGGAUUGAAAAGAAUUAUAAGAUGAGAUUCAAUUGGAGCACUAGACUAGAUUGGAGAACAAGCUUUAGAUGUAGACUAUGUUGUGGUUGUAAUAAUCAAGUGUUGAGAGAGCUACAAUUACAGAGGUGAGUUCCAUAGAUAGAAAUCCUUACCAAUAUAGUCUCCCCACUAUUCUCAUGGAGAAUUGGGUUUACGGGUAGUUAGAACUAGAAACUAUUUCAUGAGAAAUUGCACUUUGAUGAGAUUGCCCCUUUAGAUUAGUUCUCUCAAAUUGUAUAGAUUUAAUGCAUGUUGUUUAUGAAUCUUGGUGACUUCCCUUGCCCUUGUUGUGCUACUAACUGUGGGCCUAAAUUGUCACUAAAAUGCAUCUAGAGUAUGGCUAAGACUGUGUGAGGAUAAUGGUACAAACUGAAUUUUUUGCAGGAAACUGGCCACCUGGGCAUUCUGCCCUCUGCGUCUGGGGCGCGGACCACUGCGCUGGAAGCGCAAAUAACAGUGUUUCCCAGACUGUUCCUGCGCCUGGAGCUACAUCCAGCAGCCCCGUUUGCACUGUUUUGCAUUUCCGGACGCUUUUGGGACACCGUAAUGUCCCUAAUGGAAUAAGAUCAUAUAGGAAUGACAAAUAUAGUAGUUAGCUUAAUAAAUUGCAUAGGUUGGGUAGGGAAAACAAACAGAAUACUAUGGACUAGAUGCAUUAUAAGUUAAUUCAGGACAGGGUAAGAAUAUUGACAGUUGAUCUUGAAAUGUAGUGGACUUUGGGCCACAAGUGUUAGAUUUCUAAUGCUAAAUGUCUAUGAUGAAUAAUAUGUUAAGUUGUGGUCUAUAAGGCACCAGAAAGGCUUCCUUAUGUAGGAGUUGGAGCUGGAUUGAAAUUCUAUAUAGAAUUUCACACAACGAUAAGAUGAGGUAUGACCGUACGCUUUAGCCCUGAUAUGAUAGGGAAUUUAGCCGGGUAUGUAAGGGAAUGGUUCGAGACUACUCACCUCGAAUUAUUCCGUAAAAUCAACUCAAACAAAUAAUUUUGUGUCACACUUUAUUUGCAUUAUACCGAAAAUAAUCGUGAAAUGAAUAUGUAUAUGUUUAUUAUUUUUCUUAUUCCUGUAAUUCCUAUAUAUGUUUUUGAAUACAGUGAAGCUAAUAACAAGUAUUUUUGCCUUUCUGAACCAGCAACAAGGCAAAGUUUAACAAUUUUGCAAUUUAAACAGUCUUCUUUUGGCUUAUGAGUUUUGGAAAUUUUUCCUAACAAUUUUAUUAAUAUUGCAGUGGGAAUGUCAAGUUAACUUGGUCAUAUGUAGAUGAUAGAUAUUGAAGCUUGUCAUCAUAUAUUGGCUUCAAGAAGUUGGUCCUUGAGGUGCUUAUAUAUGUUCUCUCAUGGUAUGAAAGCUGCUGAUGUGUUCUUAUGGAAGUGUAUGAACUGUGGUUUGGGUUUUUUGAGCUGCUUGAAUAUCACUUUGUUACUCAUGCGUGUCAUUUCAAUUCUGGUUAUUGUCCUAUUGGUUUUGUGGUCCAAUGCUCAUACCUUUCUUCAUAGGGACCUUUGAAAGGUUAAAGAUGUGAAAACUUGUAGCCAAAGUUAGGGUAAAAAUUGAAUUGUGGAAAAUGGUGGUGAUUGAAGAAAGUGGAAUGGAUGUGAAGUAAAUCAGUGGUAUGAAUGUGAAGUAAAGUUUCCAACAUGCUACUAGAUGGCAGAUCAGGUAACCGAAUAAGAAGAGUCAAGCGAUGAUAGGCGUUUCUGAGUCUAGUUAACACUAAUUAAGGAUUAUGAAGCAACAUCACAUACUAGGGAUAUUUAGAUAUUUUUUGAACUUAUUGACGUAAUGUUAUAUUUAACCACUCUACUAACAUUUAUGUUAUAGUUUUUGAAUGUUUGAACUACAUUAGUUUCUUUCAUUUGGAACUUCAUGUACUUGAAUUAAAUUUUUGAUUUAUAUGAAUCUUGUCACUAUUGAAUGAAUUAUA